RNAcentral lists this ribosomal RNA (952 nucleotides) under uncultured organism. RNAcentral describes it as "bacterial SSU rRNA". It matches the Rfam family "Bacterial small subunit ribosomal RNA", at positions 13 to 963 of the family's 1533-position model. The record is from RNAcentral.
UUGAUCCUGGCUCAGGAUGAACGCUAGCGGCAGGCCUAACACAUGCAAGUCGAGGGGUAACAGAAGUAGCAAUACUUGCUGACGACCGGCGCACGGGUGAGUAACGCGUAUGCAACCUACCUUUGACUGGAGAAUAGCCCGAAGAAAUUCGGAUUAAUGCUCCAUGAGACCACAAUACCGCAUGAUAUAGUGGUAAAAGCUCCGGCGGUCAAAGAUGGGCAUGCGUGCCAUUAGUUAGUUGGUGAGGUUACGGCUCACCAAGACAACGAUGGCUAGGGGGUCUGAGAGGAUGAUCCCCCACACUGGUACUGAGACACGGACCAGACUCCUACGGGAGGCAGCAGUGAGGAAUAUUGGUCAAUGGACGCAAGUCUGAACCAGCCAUGCCGCGUGCAGGAUGAAUGCCCUAUGGGUUGUAAACUGCUUUUCUACAAGAAGAAACUUCCUGAUGUAUCAGGAACUGACGGUAUUGUAGGAAUAAGCAUCGGCUAACUCCGUGCCAGCAGCCGCGGUAAUACGGAGGAUGCAAGCGUUAUCCGGAUUCAUUGGGUUUAAAGGGUGCGUAGGCGGGGUAGUAAGUCAGUGGUGAAAGCCUGCGGCUUAACCGUAGAAUUGCCAUUGAUACUGCUAUUCUUGAGUGCAGUUGAGGUAGGCGGAAUGUGUAAUGUAGCGGUGAAAUGCUUAGAUAUUACACAGAACACCGAUUGCGUAGGCAGCUUACUAAACUGUAACUGACGCUGAGGCACGAAAGCGUGGGGAGCGAACAGGAUUAGAUACCCUGGUAGUCCACGCUGUAAACUAUGAUCACUCGCUGUUGGCGAUACAUUGUCAGCGGCUGAGCGAAAGCAUUAAGUGAUCCACCUGGGGAGUACGGCCGCAAGGUUGAAACUCCAAGGAAUUGACGGGGGCCCGCACAAGCGGUGGAACAUGUGGCUUAAUUCGAUGAUACGCG